ACGAAGGGGGCUAGCGUUGUUCGGAAUCACUGGGCGUAAAGGGCGCGUAGGCGGCUUUGUAAGUCGGGGGUGAAAGCCUGUGGCUCAACCACAGAAUUGCCUUCGAUACUGCAUGGCUUGAGACCGGAAGAGGUUAGUGGAACUGCGAGUGUAGAGGUGAAAUUCGUAGAUAUUGGGAAGAACACCGGUGGCGAAGGCGGCCAUCUGGACCGCAACUGACGCUGAGGCGCGAAAGCGUGGGGAGCAAACAGGA
Molecule: ribosomal RNA, 253 nt
Filed under: uncultured prokaryote
Description: partial 16S ribosomal RNA
Rfam family: Bacterial small subunit ribosomal RNA
Source: RNAcentral